UGUGUUGAGAGGAUUUCAGUGAGAAAUAACGCCAUUGAGCAAAUUAACGAGCUUAAUUAUUAGGGUAGCGGUUGCAGAGGCAGGAAGCAGGAGGACAGACCAGUUUCGAGUGACACAGCUGGGUAGAGUAAUGCAAGAAGCCAUGUUCUUCUGUCUCUUUCACUUCCUGCUUCAGGAAUUGGGAAGGAGAACUACAGACUAUGGAUCCAAGUCAUGCAGGGGUAUGAAUUUCAGCUCUGUUUGUGUCCCAAGGAAGUUGAAGACAACUUCAAGAGCAAGAGGAAAGGAGAGAGUUACCUACAAAGGAGUUUCCAUAUAACUAUCGGCUGGUUUCUCAAAAGACACCUUACAAGCAAGAAGGGGCUGGAAGGAAGAAUUUGAAGUCA
Molecule: long non-coding RNA, 386 nt
Organism: Artibeus jamaicensis (Jamaican fruit-eating bat)
Lineage: Eukaryota; Metazoa; Chordata; Mammalia; Chiroptera; Phyllostomidae
Exons: 4
Source: RefSeq, a predicted model, not a curated record